Molecule: ribosomal RNA, 521 nt
Filed under: Fusarium sp. UTMC 5001
Lineage: Eukaryota; Fungi; Ascomycota; Sordariomycetes; Hypocreales; Nectriaceae
Description: SSU rRNA
Rfam family: Eukaryotic small subunit ribosomal RNA
Source: RNAcentral
AUUUAUUGAAGACUAACUACUGCGAAAGCAUUUGCCAAGGAUGUUUUCAUUAAUCAGGAACGAAAGUUAGGGGAUCGAAGACGAUCAGAUACCGUCGUAGUCUUAACCAUAAACUAUGCCGACUAGGGAUCGGACGGUGUUAUUUUUUGACCCGUUCGGCACCUUACGAGAAAUCAAAGUGCUUGGGCUCCAGGGGGAGUAUGGUCGCAAGGCUGAAACUUAAAGAAAUUGACGGAAGGGCACCACCAGGGGUGGAGCCUGCGGCUUAAUUUGACUCAACACGGGGAAACUCACCAGGUCCAGACACAAUGAGGAUUGACAGAUUGAGAGCUCUUUCUUGAUUUUGUGGGUGGUGGUGCAUGGCCGUUCUUAGUUGGUGGAGUGAUUUGUCUGCUUAAUUGCGAUAACGAACGAGACCUUAACCUGCUAAAUAGCCCCGUAUUGCUUUGGCAGUACGCUGGCUUCUUAGAGGGACUAUCGGCUCAAGCCGAUGGAAAGUUUGAGGCAAUAACAGGUCUGUG